Long non-coding RNA from Oreochromis aureus, 546 nucleotides. NCBI's taxonomy places the organism in Eukaryota, Metazoa, Chordata, Actinopteri, Cichliformes, Cichlidae. The record is from Ensembl.
GUGGUAAAAUUAUUGUAUCUCUACAGUUUAAACAUUUAAUAAGCACAGCAUGUGCAUGUGUGUGUGUGUGUGUGUGUUUUAUGUGUAUAGAUUUUUAAAAAUUAUUACUAAUAAUAUAACAAAUAUUCCAGAAAUGCCUCGUAAGGAGAAGAGGAAGAAACGGCUACAAAAGGAGCUGUGUGAGGCUGCUAAAGGCAGUGGAUCCCUCACCAGCUGGAUUAAAAAGAGCACAGAUUAACAGCAAGUGGAGGGUGAUAGUUCAGAUGAGGAGGAUGGAAGGAGGAAGUGAGGCAAAGACUGAGUCACAGGCAGAGCCUGGAGAGAAUAUAGAGGAAAGGACAAGGCAGGAGAAAGAGACUGGAGUGAGAAAGUCAGAGAGUGAGACAGAGCCCAGAGAGGAGGAGAGUGAAGCUAGUGAAGCCAUAGAGAGGACAUUCUCAAACCUACUUGGACUUGCACACCCAACUGAUCCUGCCCAUGUCAUGCAAUUCCACAUACAGUAUGAUGAGGCCUUUAUUCAAAUGUGUGAUAAUAUUGGACCCUGCC